UGUUUCAUUUCUCUUUAUUUCAGAGAUUUGAACAAUAAUGCUAUAAUGUCUAUCCAAGAAAAUGCUUUUUCUCAGACUCAUUUGAAAGAACUGAUUCUGAACACAAGCAGUUUGCUCUGUGACUGCCAUUUGAAGUGGCUACUUCAAUGGUUGGUUGAUAAUAACUUUCAACAUUCUGUGAAUGUAAGCUGUGCACACCCUGAAUGGCUAGCAGGGCAAAGCAUCCUGAAUGUGGAUCUGAAAGAUUUUGUCUGUGAUGAUUUCCUCAAGCCACAGAUAAGGACACAUCCUGAAACCAUAAUUGCUCUAAGAGGCAUGAAUGUGACUCUGACGUGCACUGCAGUGAGCAGCAGUGAUUCACCUAUGUCCACUGUGUGGCGCAAAGACAGUGAAAUCCUGUAUGACGUGGAUAUUGAGAAUUUUGUUCGUUAUCGGCAGCAAGCUGGAGAAGCUCUGGAAUAUACUAGUAUCUUACAUCUUUUCAACGUGAAUUUCACAGAUGAAGGAAAAUAUCAGUGUAUUGUUACUAAUCACUUUGGUUCUAAUUAUUCUCAGAAAGCCAAACUGACUGUAAAUGAGAUGCCAUCUUUUCUGAAAACGCCAAUGGAUCUGACUAUUCGCACUGGUGCCAUGGCCAGAUUAGAAUGUGCUGCAGAGGGACACCCUGCACCUCAGAUUUCCUGGCAGAAAGAUGGUGGUACUGACUUUCCUGCGGCUCGAGAAAGACGCAUGCACGUCAUGCCCGAGGAUGACGUCUUCUUUAUUGCCAAUGUGAAAAUAGAAGAUAUGGGAAUCUAUAGCUGCAUGGCACAAAAUACAGCAGGAGGUCUCUCAGCAAAUGCUUCCCUAACAGUGUUAGAGACACCCUCAUUUAUUAGACCCCUGGAGGAUAAGACAGUAACCCGAGGUGAAACGGCGGUGUUACAGUGCAUAGCUGGAGGGAGUCCUGCCCCUCGUCUCAACUGGACUAAAGAUGAUGGGCCUUUGCUGGUGACAGAACGACAUUUCUUUGCUGCAGCCAAUCAGCUUCUCAUCAUUGUAGAUGCCGGGCUAGAAGAUGCUGGGAAAUAUACCUGCAUUAUGUCUAACACCCUUGGGACAGAACGUGGCCACAUUUACCUAAAUGUCAUUUCAUCCCCCAACUGUGACUCUUCCCAGAGUAGCAUUGGUCAUGAAGAUGAUGGCUGGACCACAGUUGGCAUUGUCAUCAUUGUUGUGGUCUGCUGUGUUGUUGGCACUUCUUUGAUCUGGGUCAUUGUUAUUUACCACAUGAGAAGGAAAAAUGAAGACUAUAGUAUCACAAACACAGAGGAGCUCAAUCUGCCUGCAGACAUUCCCAGCUACUUGUCUUCCCAAGGAACGCUGUCUGAGCCACAGGAAGGCUACAGCAACUCUGAGGCAGGCAGUCAUCAGCAACUUAUGCCUCCUGCCAAUGGAUAUAUACACAAAGGCACUGAUGGUGGCACUGGUACCCGGGUGAUUUGCUCAGAUUGUUAUGACAAUGCCAACAUCUACUCCAGGACCCGAGAAUACUGUCCAUACACCUAUAUUGCUGAGGAGGACGUUCUUGAUCAGACACUGUCCAGCCUCAUGGUCCAAAUGCCUAAAGAGACAUAUUUAGCACAUCCUCCCCAGGAUACUACUGCCCUAGAGAGCCUGAUAUCAUCAGCCAACAGAGAGCCAUCUGCCUUUCCCACCAACCGUGAAAGGAUAAGUGAGAAGAAACUUCCCUCCACACAGAUGAGCGGUGAAACAUUGCAGCGGCCGGUGUGGAACAUAAACAGAGAACUAGGCCUGCCUCAUCCUCCUUUUUCCCAGCAGCCAGUCCAUGAGUCACCACAACUUCAUCAAAAUGAGGGCCUGGCAGGGAGAGAGCCAGACUGUUCUACUUCUUCCAUGUCCUGCCACAGGUUACAGGAUCAUGCUUUUGAUUUUAGUAGGACUCGGAACAUUCAAGAUGGUAGUGAGGGCACAUGAAACUCACUUGAGGAUGAAAUCUGGGUAGAGACUCAUUAAUUAAUUUUGCAUUUACUACCUCAGAGCUCAGAAGAAACUCCGAUGUCAGCAUUUGCUUUACUCUUUCUUUAUGAUUGCAUCUGACUGCACCAAGGUGGGCCAUGCGUUGUUUGGUCUUAUACCUGAUGAAGAAAUGGCAACAGCUGACAGAAAUGGGUACAGCUCAUCAAAAAUGUGCAGCACUGGCAGAGGGAAGAUACGGGGCAAAUGUGCUUCCUGAUGGUUCCAUGGGGAUGUGCCCUGGUGUGCAUCUGCCUGUCAGGAAGAGUCACAUUGCUGCUUAACAUGCUGGAUUGCCCUAGUCUUCAGAAUGGUCCUGAGAAAACAUCACUACUUUGAUGUUCUACUUUGCCUUCCAAGGAGCAAAAAUAACUUUGGAGCCUUCUGGGAAGUGUGCCUGGGAUUCUUCAGUGGUUUCAGGCAGAUAGUUGAGACUGGGGCUUUGAUAUUCAAGGUCUUUGGCAAGAAUCCCAGGCUUGACCAACUGGUAACCAGGUCAAAGGUUUUUGUAUUCUUGUGAAUUUUUUUUUUGUCCCUAUUGCCCAGGGAUGUCAUUGUAAAUAUAUGUGCAUUUAUAAAUAAUUUUUGUAUUCAUUGACCAUAUGUGUUGGCUGCAGUGUAAAUAUUUUUGAUAUGCCAAAAUUAUAUAUAAUAUCCAGUUAUAAUAUUGACAAGUAGCUUCUCAGAUCACAGAUUUUAAAUAACUCGAUUUAGUGAGAUCUAAAAAUUUUAUUUAAAGUAUAAAAAGGGUGGCUCACACCUGUAAUCCCAGCAUUUUGAGAGGCUAAGGUGGGAGGAUUGCUUGAGGCCAGGAAUUUGAGACCAGGCUGGGCAACAUGGUGAGACCCUGUCUCUGCAAAAAAUAAAUUAAAAAAACAGCUGGACAUUGUGGCAUGCUGCUGUAGUCCUAGCUACUUGGGAGGUUGAGGUGGGAAGGUCACUUGAGCCCGGGAAAUCAAGGCUGCAGUGAGCUGUGUGAAGCCACUGCACCCCAGCCUGGGUGACACGGCGAGGCCCUGGCUCAAAAAUAAAAUAAAUAAAAGUUUUAAAAACUUACUUGUUAAGAAGUGUAUCUACAGAAGCAGCUACUUAGUGAUUGUAUACACAUAAACACAGUCUUGGUGUAAUUAACCGCCUUCUUCAUGCCUAGAGGUUCAUACUUCUGGUCAUUUGCCAGCUGUUUAAAAGUGCUAGGUGAUACUCCCUUUCUAACAUAAAAAGCUUGUUCUUUCAGAGCCUGGUAGUCCUGUCACAGCUGUAUGCACCUAGAGGAAAACUUGUUUGGAAAUUCCUUUCAUUUCUUCCCCCUUUCCCUCCCUCCCUCUUUUUUACUGAAACAGAAAUUGAUUGAGGAAGGUUCAGUCAUUCCUUCAGGAACCAAUGAGUUAGAUCGGGUUGUUACUUUAUGUAUAAUGAACGCUUCAAAUGGCUGUUAUGACACAGUAUUGAAAUACCAGACUGAGUUUUAGUUGUUUCUAGUUGUGUUCACUUUGUGCUUUCUCUGAAUGGGAAUAUCUUCUUUCAGCAAAGUUAUUCAUUGACCAGGAAACCAAAGAUUGCUUCUUUUCCGAGUUUGUUUUGUUUUUAAUCUUUUACCAAUGCGCAGUAUAUCUUAAGAAGGGAAGAGUGCUCUUGGGAGUAGA
RNAcentral lists this small RNA (3659 nucleotides) under Pongo abelii (Sumatran orangutan). RNAcentral's name for it is "processed transcript". Lineage: Eukaryota; Metazoa; Chordata; Mammalia; Primates; Hominidae. The record is from RNAcentral.